UGGAAACACUUCCAGUUGUUUCUUUCCUUUUCCAAAGAGCCUUGAGCUGUCGUGGAAGUUCUGGUGAUGUUCCCAGAGCGGAGUCUGAUCCCGGAGCCCCACCAGGCCACUGUUGUAGCCCUGAGGUUGUGCCUCUGCUGCUGCUCCAGAGGGGAUUUUCUUUCCUUUUCCCAAGUGAGAGUUCAGGUGCUGGUUUAAAGGGGAAAAAAGGAAUUGUUGGAGCUUUUGUGGGAGGGCACAAACACACCCACUGCCCUGGUGGUUCCGGUUGGGUCUGCGGGGCCGGCACGUGGGAAUUCCGCUGGGGCGGAUCUGGAAGUGCAGCAUGAAUAUUUCAGGUGUUAAUCUCUUCCUCAAGCAGCAGGGAGGGACUAAGGCAGCUUUAGGACCGGGAUUACCGGCGCUCCAACUAUUUCAGCUUUUCCCUUCUGCGUGCUAAUGAGAGACCCCCUCGCAGCGCCAAGCUCCUGGAGAUGUGUCUGAGCCCUCAGAGGAAAAAUAAUCCCGGUGCAUUUUUAGUCCUGAAUUACUGUUGAUACAACAGCCUCCGACUUCCACGAGGUGGGAUUAACUCCAGGGCUCCUCCUGAGCCCCUGUGUGCUGGGGGCAGGUGUUUCCUGCACCAGAGCUGCCUCAUUCCUGGUGGGAAUGGCUCCUCCAAGGUGCUGGAGUCUUAAUAGCUUUAAGGCCCUUGAUUAGGCUUGUCAUGUGUGUUGGGCAUUGUGGAUUAGGGAUCAUCUUCCUGCAGACCUGCUGCACAAGCAGGUUUUGAUCUGGCACGGGGAUCCCAGGCUGGAGAACUCCUCGGGUUUGGGUUUUCACACUCGGCUUUUCAGCUCACCUUAAUUUGCACCUCUCUGGUCCGGAGGUCUGGAAGUGGCUUGGUAAUUCCUCACCGGGGUAUUUGGGAGUUGUGUUGUGCCCCGUGAUGGGGUGUUCAUUCUCUGCCCUCUGUGCUUCUCCCUCAUGGAUUAUUUUCCCUGAAUUCUGGGGUUAGUCAACCCAUCCUGUUCAGCCCCAGCAGGUGAACGCUGCAUUCCUGCUGGGGUUUCACUCUUUGCAGGCUGAACUAAGCUUCUUACCUGCCAGCUGCCUCCCUGCCUUAAAGCUAUUUAAAUCCAUCACAGGGAUGCAGAUUCACUUUCUGGGGGAGCAGAGGAACCACACUCUGGGUCGGGAUAUAUUUGGUCCUACAGGCCUCGUGGAAAUAAAGCACCUCCAAGUGACUGCGAGGACCAAGUGGGGACUCACCAUCCUCUGGUAGCUCAGGGAUUGUCCAGGGGCAGUGAGGGGGUUGUAGGGUGAGCUUAGGACUGUUCAGGGGCAGUGAGGGGGUUGUAGGAUGAGCUGAGGGGACUGAUUGUCCAGGGGCAGUGAGGGGUUGCUUUGGCAGUUUGUAGGAUGAACAGAGCUUGGGAUUGUCCAAGUGCAGGUGGAGUUGCUUUAGCAGUUUGUAGGAUGAGCUCAGGAUUCUCCUGGUGCAGUGAGGGGUUUGUAGGAUGAGCUGAGGGGAUUGUCCAGGGGCAGUGAGGGGUUUGUAGGAUGAGCUGAGGGGAUUGUCCAGGUGCAGUGAGGGGUUUGUAGGAUGAGCUCAGGAUUGUCCAGGGGCAGUGAGGGGUUUGUAGGAUGAGCUUGGGAUUGUCCAGGUGCAGUGAGGGGUUUGUAGGAUAAGCUGAGGGGAUUCUCCUGGUGCAGUGAGGGGUUUGUAGGAUGAGCUGAGGAUUGUCCAAGGGCAGUGAGGGGUUUGUAGGAUGAACUCAGGAUUGUCCAGGGGCAGUGAGGGGUUUGUAGGAUGAGCUGAGGGGAUUCUCCUGGUGCAGUGAGGGGUUUGUAGGAUGAGCUGAGGGGAUUGUCCAGGGGCAGUGAGGGGUGCUUUGGCAGUUCGCAGGAUGAGCUGAGGGGAUUGUCCAGAUGCAGUGAGGAGUUGCUUGGCAGUGUGUAGGAUGAGCAAUAGGGGUUUUCCAGGUGCAGUGAGGGGUUGUUUGACAGUUGUAGGAGGAGCAGAGCUCUGGAUCGUGCUGGAGUCUGACACAGUGGAUGUAGCCAAUAUGUGAUGGGUGGGCACCCACUGGAUGAGUUCCUGUGUCACCUGGACCAGAGGAUCUCCAGAGGUCCCUCCCAACCCCAAAUUCUGUGACGUGCUGGCCCCAGCCCGGCCCUGCCUUUUGAAGAAAGAGCCCUGGUGGUGCCAGAGCCCGUCGUGGGAGCCGGAGGGACCAUUGUGGGAACCAGAGGGACCGUGCCCCAUCCCGCCCUCAGACGGAGCAGCAGCGCUGGCUCGGGUUUCCGUCGGUCUGUCUGAGCCUCUCUGAACUGCCGCCCUACUUGGAGGAAAUCCAUGGAAACCUCCUCGCCUCCCUCCACUCCUCAAGGCUCCUGCCUGCAGAAGGU
Long non-coding RNA from Chiroxiphia lanceolata (lance-tailed manakin), 2391 nucleotides. RefSeq lists it as uncharacterized. The transcript is spliced from 3 exons. The record is from RefSeq and is a predicted model, not a curated record. NCBI's taxonomy places the organism in Eukaryota, Metazoa, Chordata, Aves, Passeriformes, Pipridae.